This 375-nucleotide ribosomal RNA is filed under the name uncultured bacterium. Its description in RNAcentral is "bacterial SSU rRNA". It matches the Rfam family "Bacterial small subunit ribosomal RNA", at positions 521 to 896 of the family's 1533-position model. The record is from RNAcentral.
UAAUACGUAGGCAGCAAGCGUUGUUCGGAGUUACUGGGCGUAAAGAGUGCGUAGGCGGUCCUGUAAGUUUGGUGUGAAAUCUCCCGGCUCAACUGGGAGGGUGCGCCGAAGACUGCAGGGCUUGAGUAUGGGAGAGGUAAGCGGAAUUCCUGGUGUAGCGGUGAAAUGCGUAGAUAUCAGGAGGAACACCUGUGGUGUAGACAGCUUACUGGACCAUAACUGACGCUGAGGCACGAAAGCGUGGGUAGCAAACAGGAUUAGAUACCCUGGUAGUCCACGCCCUAAACGAUGCAUACUUGGUGUGAGCCAUUCAUUUGGUUCGUGCCGGAGCUAACGCGUUAAGUAUGCCGCCUGGGGAGUACGGUCGCAAGGCUG